Molecule: transfer RNA, 73 nt
Filed under: Ruminococcus champanellensis 18P13 = JCM 17042
Lineage: Bacteria; Bacillati; Bacillota; Clostridia; Eubacteriales; Oscillospiraceae
Also listed under: 2 other names
Description: Ruminococcus sp. 18P13 tRNA
Rfam family: tRNA
About the family: Transfer RNA (tRNA) molecules are approximately 80 nucleotides in length. Their secondary structure includes four short double-helical elements and three loops (D, anti-codon, and T loops).
Source: Rfam by way of RNAcentral
GGGGGUGUAGCUCAGCUGGGAGAGCACCUGCCUUGCAAGCAGGGGGUCAGGAGUUCGAUCCUCCUCAUCUCCA